RNAcentral lists this unclassified non-coding RNA (162 nucleotides) under uncultured Roesleria. Its description in RNAcentral is "sequence contains ITS1". Lineage: Eukaryota; Fungi; Ascomycota; Leotiomycetes; Helotiales. The record is from RNAcentral.
CAGAGUUCCUGCCCUCACGGGUAGAAACCCCACCCUUGUAUAUUAUAUAUUGUUGCUUUGGCGGGCCGCCCUCACGGGCACCGGCUCACGCUGGCUCGCGCCCGCCGAAGGACCCCAAACCCUGAAUUAUUAGUGUCGUCUGAGUAAAAUAUUUAAUAUUUA